RNAcentral lists this ribosomal RNA (490 nucleotides) under uncultured bacterium. RNAcentral's name for it is "partial 16S ribosomal RNA". It matches the Rfam family "Bacterial small subunit ribosomal RNA", at positions 30 to 507 of the family's 1533-position model. The record is from RNAcentral.
AUUGAACGCUGGCGGCAGGCCUAACACAUGCAAGUCGAACGGUAACAGGAAGCAGCUUGCUGCUUUGCUGACGAGUGGCGGACGGGUGAGUAAUGUCUGGGAAACUGCCUGAUGGAGGGGGAUAACUACUGGAAACGGUAGCUAAUACCGCAUAACGUCGCAAGACCAAAGAGGGGGACCUUCGGGCCUCUUGCCAUCGGAUGUGCCCAGAUGGGAUUAGCUAGUAGGUGGGGUAACGGCUCACCUAGGCGACGAUCCCUAGCUGGUCUGAGAGGAUGACCAGCCACACUGGAACUGAGACACGGUCCAGACUCCUACGGGAGGCAGCAGUGGGGAAUAUUGCACAAUGGGCGCAAGCCUGAUGCAGCCAUGCCGCGUGUAUGAAGAAGGCCUUCGGGUUGUAAAGUACUUUCAGCGGGGAGGAAGGGAGUAAAGUUAAUACCUUUGCUAAUUGACGUUACCCGCAGAAGAAGCACCGGCUAACUCCGUG